Molecule: ribosomal RNA, 510 nt
Filed under: uncultured bacterium
Lineage: Bacteria
Description: bacterial SSU rRNA
Rfam family: Bacterial small subunit ribosomal RNA
Source: RNAcentral
CUGGCUCAGGAUGAACGCUAGCUACAGGCUUAACACAUGCAAGUCGAGGGGCAGCGAGAGGAAAGCUUGCUUCCUUGUCGGCGACCGGCGCACGGGUGAGUAACGCGUAUCCAACCUUCCCCAUAGUAGAGGAUAGCCCGGCGAAAGUCGGAUUAAUACUCUAUGUUGUGUCAUGAGGACAUCUGAAUAACACUAAAGAUUUAUCGCUAUGGGAUGGGGAUGCGUCUGAUUAGGUAGUCGGCGGGGUAACGGCCCACCGAGCCGACGAUCAGUAGGGGUUCUGAGAGGAAGGUCCCCCACAUUGGUACUGAGACACGGACCAAACUCCUACGGGAGGCAGCAGUGAGGAAUAUUGGUCAAUGGACGAGAGUCUGAACCAGCCAAGUAGCGUGCAAGGAUGACUGCCCUAUGGGUUGUAAACUGCUUUUAUGCGGGAAUAAAGUCAGGUACGUGUACCUGUUUGUAUGUACCGCAUGAAUAAGGACCGGCUAAUUCCGUGCCAGCCGCCGC